RNAcentral lists this ribosomal RNA (357 nucleotides) under Prymnesium parvum. RNAcentral's name for it is "partial Bacterial large subunit ribosomal RNA". It matches the Rfam family "Bacterial large subunit ribosomal RNA", at positions 1085 to 1440 of the family's 2925-position model. Lineage: Eukaryota; Haptophyta; Prymnesiales; Prymnesiaceae. The record is from RNAcentral.
CAAAACAACCAGGAGGUUGGCUUAGAAGCAGCCACCUUUUAAAGAAAGCGUAAUAGCUCACUGGUCUAAAUAAGCCGCCUUGCGCCGAAGAUGUACCGGGGCUCAAGCCGUACACCGAAGCUGCGGACUCCUUAAUGGAGUGGUAGCGGAGCGUUCCGUAGGUCUGUGAAGGGAUACCCGCGAGGGGUCCUGGAGAUAUCGGAAGUGCGAAUGCUGACAUGAGUAGCGAUAAAGAGUGUGAGAAACACUCUCGCCGAAAUCCCAAGGGUUCCUGCGCAAGGCUAAUCCGCGCAGGGUGAGCCGGCCCCUAAGGCGAGGCCGAAAGGCGUAGUCGAUGGGAACCAGGUUAAUAUUCCU